Molecule: long non-coding RNA, 2170 nt
Filed under: Anser brachyrhynchus (Pink-footed goose)
Lineage: Eukaryota; Metazoa; Chordata; Aves; Anseriformes; Anatidae
Description: lncRNA (ENSABRG00000012279.1)
Source: RNAcentral
GGACGUUCUCCCGGAGCCCCCCAUGAUGGUGGUACCCUGGCUCCAGGGAGGAGGUAUGGGCACACAGCCCUCCUGGUCUGUACAGCUGCAGGAACCUUAAUUGCCUGUGCACAUUUAAAUCACCUUUAAAUGCACUCUAUGGCAAGUGCCAUGGGUCGGGUGAGGUUCACGUUGCACAGCUCGUGCUCGGCUGUCAGCCUGGGCAGACAGCAGCGAUGCCCCAGCACCACAGCGAAGGGGCACAAGCCCUCAGGACCACGAAGACGACGUCUCCUGGAGCCCUGCGUGUCUCUCCAGGCUCUGCUCACCCUGAUCAGCCUCACCUGGGCCUGCUGCCAUCCACCCAUGUUGAGGACUGGCUCGCUGCACGUAAUCACAUUGAUAUCAUGCAGCUGCAAGAUAAGGAAAUGGCGGAUUACCGCACCCAGCUGGUCUAGAGAAACAAGAGCAAAGACACGUACGCAAGGCUUGUCUGGGAACUCUUGUGAGAAAUCCCAGGCAAUUAGAAACAAUGAUAGUAGAGGGCAUACUGCCCUGGGAGUUAUAGUUAGAUUAGAAAUGGGAACUAGCGGAUAGAAGAAUGCGAAACUAACAGAUAGGGCAGUAUAUGACGCUUACCAAUAAAGAGCUUGGCUUUUGCAAUAUGUAUGAGCUAAUUAUCCUGUACACGAUAAAAGACAAUUGAGCUAUCCAUUAAAGCUGAAGCAUACUUAACACUCAUAUUGAGCGUUUGUGUCUUCCCUCCGUCGACAACACACCCACCUCCAGCCCUUGGCCUGGGGCUGUAUUUAAGCUCCCAGCUCUGCUCCUUGCCCUGGCUGGGUUGUGCUUUGUGGUUGCUUUUAGAGCUGCCUCAUUGUGAGGGAUGUUCCUGGGGACUGUCACCAUCCUAGAACCAGCCCUGCUUGGCUCCUGCCUUCCUGCAGCUGCUCCUUGGCGUUUUAUCCCCAGCCUGAGGAUGAAGGGGUUAGCUGCUCAUUCCCAUCCAUCGCUAAAAAUCCUAAAUCAGGAGCUGAUCUUCAGGGCUCAGAGAGAGAUUGUGCCUCCUGACUCUAGCUGCUGGCAGCGUUUUAAAGCACCAGAGGCUGCAGGGACACACUCAGCAACAUGGCUGCUGCUGGGGGCUGGGGCGCACCAUGGGGAGAGAGCUGAAGAAGCACAGAACGUGACAAUAAAGAUGAGGAACAGAGGUACGGAGAGCUGGAAGCAGCUGGAGGAGAAUUGCAAUGAGGUGACAAGAAGCCAGCGCUCAGCAGCUGCUCUGUGCACCCAGUGGCCCAGCACGCUGCGUGAGGCGCUGUGUGCGUCUGGCUUGGUUACUUUAAAUAAGUAUUGCAAUAAUGUGGGGGACACUGCUCUGCAACGCACGGUUAGACGUUCAGGUGGGACGCUGGUGUUCUAGCUGGGGUGCUGAGGUGCUGUUUGGGGAAACCUGCUGUGGUUUUCAUGGCUGCACCAAGGCUGUGACCAGCCUUGAGAGUGGCCACAGUGGCUGUGCUCAGCGGCAGGCAACCCCUCUCCUGGGACACAACAGGCUUGGAGACCCCAGGGAUCUUAAAGACAAGAGCUGGGGAUAACGGCCAGGUGCCUGAAACCACAGGGGGAGGUUGUGUGUCCCAGUAGCACAGCCACAAUGAGAGGCAGGCCGGGUGCCUUGCUGCAGUACAAGUGUGGGAUCGCUGCAGGCUUUAUUGCUCCUCCGUGCCCCCCUGCAGGCUGCUGUCCUCCUCCUGAGCUCUGCCACCAGCUGCAAAACCACCUGCAGGGGUUGAGGGGAGCCCGGAGACCAGUGAUGAGUUAACCACAGCUCCUGGGCCUCUGCCCAUAAGCACAGCUCUGUAAUUCUUCCCCUGCGAAGUACUUGUUUACAGCCUGAUUUUUCACCAUGUUAUCUCUGGUGUCUGUGGCCAAAUGCUCACAGGCUUUACUUCUCAGAGCAUGGUCAAAGAGGUGAUCCGCCUGUUUCUGCUCUCUCUUGCUAAGGUGACAAUUUUGUUCUGUAGGAAGAAUACAGGUUUCUGCUGCCAGGGAUUUACUGGGAAACUGAGCUGUGGGUUGGCCUCCAAGAGCUGGGCAGGCACCAUAAAAUUCCUCCUUCACUGAAAUCCCCAUCUGAUUCCUGCCAAAUGCAUCCAGAAGCUCGCCAAGCUUGCCUUACACUCCUUUCCAC